AGGUAGUCAAGAUGAGAAUUCUAAGGUGAGCGAGCGAACUCUCGUUAAGGAACUCGGCAAAAUGACCCCGUAACUUCGGGAGAAGGGGUGCUCUUUAGGGUUAACGCCCAGAAGAGCCGCAGUGAAUAGGCCCAAGCGACUGUUUAUCAAAAACACAGGUCUCUGCUAAACCGUAAGGUGAUGUAUAGGGGCUGACGCCUGCCCGGUGCUGGAAGGUUAAGAGGAGUGGUUAGCUUCUGCGAAGCUACGAAUCGAAGCCCCAGUAAACGGCGGCCGUAACUAUAACGGUCCUAAGGUAGCGAAAUUCCUUGUCGGGUAAGUUCCGACCCGCACGAAAGGCGUAACGAUUUGGGCACUGUCUCAACGAGAGACUCGGUGAAAUCAUAGUACCUGUGAAGAUGCAGGUUACCCGCGACAGGACGGAAAGACCCCGUGGAGCUUUACUGUAGCCUGAUAUUGAAAUUCGGCACAGCUUGUACAGGAUAGGUAGGAGCCUUUGAAACGUGAGCGCUAGCUUACGUGGAGGCGCUGGUGGGAUACUACCCUAGCUGUGUUGGCUUUCUAACCCGCACCACUUAUCGUGGUGGGAGACAGUGUCAGGCGGGCAGUUUGACUGGGGCGGUCGCCUCCUAAAAGGUAACGGAGGCGCUCAAAGGUUCCCUCAGAAUGGUUGGAAAUCAUUCAUAGAGUGUAAAGGCAUAAGGGAGCUUGACUGCGAGACCUACAAGUCGAGCAGGGUCGAAAGACGGACUUAGUGAUCCGGUGGUUCCGCAUGGAAGGGCCAUCGCUCAACGGAUAAAAGCUACCCCGGGGAUAACAGGCUUAUCUCCCCCAAGAGUUCACAUCGACGGGGAGGUUUGGCACCUCGAUGUCGGCUCA
This 879-nucleotide ribosomal RNA is filed under the name Staphylococcus aureus. RNAcentral's name for it is "partial 23S ribosomal RNA". It matches the Rfam family "Bacterial large subunit ribosomal RNA", at positions 1661 to 2539 of the family's 2925-position model. The record is from RNAcentral. Lineage: Bacteria; Bacillati; Bacillota; Bacilli; Caryophanales; Staphylococcaceae.